This 253-nucleotide ribosomal RNA is filed under the name uncultured bacterium. RNAcentral's name for it is "partial 16S ribosomal RNA". It matches the Rfam family "Bacterial small subunit ribosomal RNA", at positions 524 to 776 of the family's 1533-position model. The record is from RNAcentral.
UACAGAGACUGCAAGCGUUAUUCGGAUUCACUGGGCGUAAAGGGUGCGCAGGCGGUCGGGUGUGUCAGAUGUGAAAUCCCGAGGCUCAACCUCGGAACUGCGUCUGAAACUACUCGACUAGAGUACUGGAGAGGGUAACGGAAUUCACGGUGUAGCAGUGAAAUGCGUAGAUAUCGUGAGGAACACCUGAGGUGAAGACGGGUUGCUGGGCUGACACUGACGCUGAGGCGCGAAAGCUAGGGGAGCAAACGGG